UUUAUUUUAAUAAAUGUGUAUGUACAAAGCAUAAUUGUAUAAAAUAUGCUUAUAAUAUAUACAAAUGGCAUAAGGCACACAAGACAUGUAUAUGCCUUAAACACUCAGAAAUCGCAUACACAAAUUUAAAAAUGUAUGAAAGGCUUCCAUUUCCUCACUAAACGGAGUUGUAUAAAGUACAAAUCCAAAUUGUAUAAUUUAGGUCAAGUUAUCAGAUUUGGAGACAUUAGCCAACUUCGAGAUAGUGACAGAUUGACUAUUUUAACAAACUUUACAAUUCAGAUUUUCAUUCACAAAAAUUCUUAGUGAAUAACCCACCUGUCUCACAGUUUUAGUUUGUUUUGCCCUUUCUGAGAGAAUCUUAAAUGUUAAAUAUUUUCCCCACUUAUAACUUUGAAUUACAUUGUCAUAAUGAAUAAGGCAGGUAUAAAAACCUUUUUGCUGAACGGUUUGUUCCCAGUCAGGCCCUGGCUUACAGUAUCCACCGCGGGCUGGUACUGAUGCCUGUGUGUGCUCCCUCACGAUCCUGGACCGAAAGGGAUGUUUUACCUACUUGGCUUCCAGGAAAAGAGACACUUUCACAUUCAUUGAUUGAAUAUUUAAAAACUGGCACACUAAACACCAUACCCUGGGCAGCCCGAUUUAAUCAUUAUGGAGCCAAGCGUGCUUUGGUACCCUCCCAGUGGAAGGCACCAUGAUUUGACAAUUUCCAUGUGUCCCCCAGACACCAGAGUCUUCUCCUGCAGGAGAUACCAGGUGUUUUCAGAGCUAAAUCACAGCCUGCAAGGAGAAACCAGAAGCAGGUACCUGGUGGGACCUAGUUAUGUUUAAACUGUUCUAAAACCAUAUGAACAAUUACAUUAUGACGACACCAGGGUAGUCCUGGCACCAUAACCACUACAGCAGGAUGUAGUGGUUAUGAUUAUCUAGAUCAGGGGUCCUCAAACU
Pelobates cultripes (western spadefoot toad) is the source of this 948-nucleotide non-coding RNA. The record is from the annotation of a GenBank genome assembly. Lineage: Eukaryota; Metazoa; Chordata; Amphibia; Anura; Pelobatidae.